GAUGAACGCUAGCGGGAGGCUUAACACAUGCAAGUCGAGCGGGAUUAGCAGCAAUGCUAUGAGAGCGGCGCACGGGUGCGUAACGCGUAUGCAACCUGCCUUAUACAGGGGAAUAGCCCAUGGAAACGUGGAUUAAAGUCCCAUAGGAUUACGGAUUCGCAUGGAUUUGUGAUUAAAACUGAGGUGGUAUAAGAUGGGCAUGCGUCUGAUUAGGUAGUUGGUGAGGUAAUGGCUCACCAAGCCGACGAUCAGUAGGGGUUCUGAGAGGGUGGCCCCCCAAAUGGAACUGAAACACGGUCCAUACACCUACGGGUGGCAGCAGUAGGGGAUAUUGGUAAUGGG
Molecule: ribosomal RNA, 342 nt
Filed under: uncultured bacterium
Lineage: Bacteria
Description: bacterial SSU rRNA
Rfam family: Bacterial small subunit ribosomal RNA
Source: RNAcentral